Molecule: ribosomal RNA, 497 nt
Filed under: uncultured bacterium
Lineage: Bacteria
Description: partial 16S ribosomal RNA
Rfam family: Bacterial small subunit ribosomal RNA
Source: RNAcentral
GAUGAACGCUGGCGGCGUGCCUAAUACAUGCAAGUCGAGCGAACAGACGAGGAGCUUGCUCCUCUGACGUUAGCGGCGGACGGGUGAGUAACACGUGGAUAACCUACCUAUAAGACUGGGAUAACUUCGGGAAACCGGAGCUAAUACCGGAUAAUAUAUUGAACCUCAUGGUUCAAUAGUGAAAGACGGUUUUGCUGUCACUUAUAGAUGGAUCCGCGCCGCAUUAGCUAGUUGGUAAGGUAACGGCUUACCAAGGCAACGAUGCGUAGCCGACCUGAGAGGGUGAUCGGACACACGGGAACUGAGACACGGUCCAGACUCCUACGGGAGGCAGCAGUAGGGACUCUUCCGCAAUGGGCGAAAGCCUGACGGAGCAACGCCGCGUGAGUGAUGAAGGUCUUCGGAUCGUAAAACUCUGUUAUUAGGGAAGAACAAAUGUGUAAGUAACUAUGCACGUCUUGACGGUACCUAAUCAGAAAGCCACGGCUAACUACGUG